This is a long non-coding RNA of Phragmites australis (common reed), 2400 nucleotides long. RefSeq lists it as uncharacterized. The record is from RefSeq and is a predicted model, not a curated record. Lineage: Eukaryota; Viridiplantae; Streptophyta; Magnoliopsida; Poales; Poaceae. The transcript is spliced from 3 exons.
GGUGCCUCCGCGUGCCCUUCUCUGCACAAUAGCCAUCGUGACGACGAUGAAUCCCUGCUCCAUCCUCAUGUGGAUGACCUGAUCCGCCUGCACGAAUAAGCCUCCGCUGCCCUGGUGAUCCAGCACAGCACCGAGGCCCUGUCCCGCACGAGCGAGGAUGCCUGGAUCUGCCCGUGCUAGAAGGCCCUUCUCCGUCUGCAUGUCGACAUCCUGAUCCGCACGUGCAAGGACGCUUGGCUCUGCCCGUGCUACGAGCCCCUGCUCCGCCAGCGCGCCCUACUUUGCCCAGACGACUACGCCUUGGUCUUGACGGUACGCACCAUCGAAUCACCACUCAUCCCCUCCCUGGGUUGUCGACCACUGGGUCUUUGAUUGUGCUCCCCCACCAGCCACUCCACAGUGGAGCUCGACCUCCGCCGAGCAUGCAAGACCUCGACAUCGCUUCCUCGCCACUCUCACCCACAUCUAAGGCGUUGCCCGGCACGGCCACAGCUCUGCCCCAAGCGGCCAUCCAUGGAUCCACCGGAGAAGCACACCAGCAGCAAUGCAUAGCAGAGAAGAAAAGGCCACCCGUCUUCUUCAGCCCGAUCUGCAGCCCCGCUGCCGUGUCCCCAGCCUGAUCUCUAGCUCCGCCCCAGCCUCAUCGGCCUGCCAUCCGGAUCCUCGUCAUCUCCGUCCCCGCCGCAACCUCACCAGACCGUCACCCCUUCCUCGCCAUCUCAGGCAUUUCUGACGGCCGUCGGAAGCCAAUGCUGCCAUUAUUGCCACCGUCGAUGUAGAGUACACCAAGGAGGCCACCAACCAAUCACAGCGAUGUGUAAUGGUUUGUCUCCUCAAGGCUGCAGAUUGAAGUGGAUCGUGUUCUAUCCAUUUGGUCCUCAAAGUUCAUUUACAUAUGUCAUGGUGAGAAGCAACUACUAUAGAUAAUCGACAUGACCGGAUGCAUUACAGCAUGGGCAGCGUCAAACCAGGAGGGAAAAGGGUGAUGGUGGCAAGAUGUGGAGCUGUCGGCGGAACCAAAAAAAAAUGGGUAAGAUUUGCUCAUCUUCCUUCACCUCAGGUUUGCCCACUCUCUGAAAUUUGAUUACGCUACUGGAUUUGUUACUUCUCAAUGAAAAUUGUUUGAUACAUUUGUAUCAGUAGGUGAAAAGGAAGAACUUUACUUACUAGAUAUAAUUGAUUGUACACAUUGUGAUCCAGUGCAAUUAGUAAAUGGAUAGAUCUUCAUAUACUUCUGUGCUCAGAUCUGCAUAUUUUUCCUGUCCUCUACUGUUCUAGGUUUUUGUGAGGUAGAAUCGAAUAUCUUCAAUUUGAAUAAAAAUCCUACAUCUUCUUUCUUCAGUUUGUUUGACUAUUUCUUGGCUAGAGAGUUGGAUAUGUGCUAGAACUGCCUAGGCAGUGCUACGAAAAGAAGUAUCCCAUGAAUAUGAAUAUUCUGGUUGCCAUGUAAGCUGUCUCUGGUGUUUACAUUUUUUUCAUUUUCAGAUUACCAUUUGCAAAAAGAAGAAGGUUGAACAAUACGACUUUCCAUUACCAAUUAAUUUACACAGUUUUCCAUUGCCACUUAUGUUGUUUGAAACUACCACUUCUCUUUUUAAAAGCAGCAUGAGUUGACAUUCCACAUCAUGAGUUUAGUUUCAGGGAGAUGAUAUUCCACAUCAUGAAUUGUCACAUCUAGUUAAGAGAAGGUUUUCACAGAGAUCUCCAAUCAGGUCUGCAACAGCUAGCACAACCAGUACAAUAUUGUUUCUUCUCCAUACAGGUUGCUGGCCCACACUCUAUUCUACUAGUCUGAUUUAUUUCGGGUGUGUUUUCUUCGUCCUUCUUCUCAUACGAUAUUCCCCAUUUCAAAAUUUCAGUUGUUUCACUUGUAACAAUAGUGUUGACCUUAUUACUGUUUGUCUCCUUCUUAUUUUGUUAUUUACAAAAGUGUGUUACAUUAUUAAACUGAUGCAACAGUUGCAUCACCCAUGACAUGCUGCUUAACUGGCUCAUUGUUUUUAUUUGGCCAUUGCGAAUUCAGCUGCUCAGGAGGUAUGGCACCUGAAUGCUGAUGCACCCUAGACGCACAUGAGAGCAGGACUUUUGACAACAACUUCUCAAUUCAUCUCUUCAGAAAUAAAAAAAAAAUGUUGUUGCUUCGGAUACAAUGAUAUGAAAACUGGCUAUACUUUUAUUUGUUCAGAUACCUUCAGAAACUACUCUACUGUUUCUGGUAGUUAGGUUUGUUGCUUGGCGAAAAUAUUUGACAGCUAUCAUGGGAUAGACUAUCAUAUCUCUAAGUGCAAGUUGGUAAGAUUGUAUCGCUUGUUAGUCAGUGUCGCCGUUUACACUUUCCUAACACCUACCUUGUGCAGAUUCUAUUGCCACAUGCUCUCAUCAGUAACUACAUUUUGUUCA